GUAGGUUGCUAUAUAUAUUUCUGGACUAGGCAACACUAAGUGUUGCCAGGUGCAAUCUGACAUUUCCAUUGGAAAGUUUGACAUUUUUUAGCAUAACAUCACUCAGAACGUUUUGUCAUUUAAUCGUGAAUUGUUUUAUUUACAGGGAAUUAAAAAAUUCAUCUCGGCCAAAAAAUGGAAUUAACUCGUGAACAUUUUCGUGCGAUCAUUUUUCACAAGUUCCGACGUGGAUUAUCACGACAAGAGUGCAUCGAUGAACUAAAAUCUUUGUAUGGCUAUGAAGCACCAUCCUAUAGCACUGUGAAAAACUGUUACAACGAAUUCAAUCGUGGCCGACGCUCGCUCAAAGACGAAUUCCGUGAAGGUCGUCCAAAAACAGCCGUUGUGCCAGAAAACAUCGAUGCCGUACGUGAACUGAUAAUGCAAGACCGUCAUGUAACAUACCUUCAGAUAGAGGCAUGCCUAUGCAUUUCUCCCACCAGCAUACAUUCGAUAUUGCAUGAACACCUGGCCGUAAAAAGGGUUUGUU
Molecule: long non-coding RNA, 529 nt
Organism: Bactrocera dorsalis (oriental fruit fly)
Lineage: Eukaryota; Metazoa; Arthropoda; Insecta; Diptera; Tephritidae
Exons: 2
Source: RefSeq, a predicted model, not a curated record